This is a ribosomal RNA of Cricetulus griseus (Chinese hamster), 102 nucleotides long. The record is from Ensembl. NCBI's taxonomy places the organism in Eukaryota, Metazoa, Chordata, Mammalia, Rodentia, Cricetidae.
UUCUAUAGCCACACCACCCUGAACAUGCCCAAUCUCCUCUGAUCUCAGAAGCUAAGCAGGGUUGGGUCUGGUUAGUACUUAAUACUUGGAUGGUAGAAGAAC